GUCUGUAGCUCAGUGGUAGAGCACUCACCUAGCAUGUAUGAGUUCCUGAGUUCAAUCCCCAACACGACA
RNAcentral lists this transfer RNA (69 nucleotides) under Marmota monax (woodchuck). RNAcentral's name for it is "tRNA.Ala". The record is from RNAcentral. Lineage: Eukaryota; Metazoa; Chordata; Mammalia; Rodentia; Sciuridae.